CUUUCUCCUAUGUCUUCUUCCUUAUUUUCUAUAUCCUUUCCCCAUCUCCUUUCUCAGUUUGCUUACUAUUCAGAUACGCAGUACCAUGGAAGAUUAGAGCAAAAGGCAGGCUACAAAAGAAUAAUGGACAGCAUAAUGAAUCAUUAAUAGCAAAAUGAGUUAAUGCAACAAAAAGUGUUCCAUUUGAAACAAAGUUACCUUUUUUGUGCUGAAUUCCAUAAACCAGUUCUUUCUGCGUAAUUUUUUUUAAAAAAAAAAAUCAACUAUCUUCUAUUCUCGAAUCUUAUUCAGGGUUCUGUAAAUGGCCCACGAGA
Molecule: long non-coding RNA, 314 nt
Filed under: Elaeis guineensis (African oil palm)
Lineage: Eukaryota; Viridiplantae; Streptophyta; Magnoliopsida; Arecales; Arecaceae
Description: long non-coding RNA (EGUI_LNC011529)
Source: RNAcentral